This 227-nucleotide long non-coding RNA is filed under the name Coffea arabica (coffee). Its description in RNAcentral is "long non-coding RNA (CARA_LNC002075)". The record is from RNAcentral. Lineage: Eukaryota; Viridiplantae; Streptophyta; Magnoliopsida; Gentianales; Rubiaceae.
UGUCAGCCUUUUCAGUAUUGAAGACUAUCGAAUAUAAUUAUACACACUAGGACUCCAUAUUAGCAUCAAAGCAGGCUCUGAAGGUUCAGUUUGUUGUUUAGAUCUUCUUAGCACUUACCAUCUUUCUUUGAAAACAAAAGAUCCUUCACCCCAUCCCUUCCCCACCACCUCUUGGCCGGACCUCAACUUAUGCCGGCUACCAUGAUGUCACUUUCCGGUGAUCCACC